UGGUAAUGCCGGAUGCUCCGACUCCUCGCAUGGGGUGUCGGGAAAGAUUUCAUCGGUAUGGGAUGGGGUCGCGUCCUAUCAGGUAGUCGGCGGGGUAACGGCCCACCGAGCCUACGACGGGUAGCCGGCCUGAGAGGGCGACCGGCCACAUUGGGACUGAGAUACGGCCCAGACUCCUACGGGAGGCAGCAGUGGGGAAUAUUGCACAAUGGGCGCAAGCCUGAUGCAGCGACGCCGCGUGCGGGAUGACGGCCUUCGGGUUGUAAACCGCUUUUGAUCGGGAGCAAGCCUUCGGGUGAGUGUACCUUUCGAAUAAGCACCGGCUAACUACGUGCCAGCAGCCGCGGUAAUACGUAGGGUGCAAGCGUUAUCCGGAAUUAUUGGGCGUAAAGGGCUCGUAGGCGGUUCGUCGCGUCCGGUGUGAAAGUCCAUCGCUUAACGGUGGAUCUGCGCCGGGUACGGGCGGGCUGGAGUGCGGUAGGGGAGA
Molecule: ribosomal RNA, 487 nt
Filed under: Bifidobacterium pseudocatenulatum
Lineage: Bacteria; Bacillati; Actinomycetota; Actinomycetes; Bifidobacteriales; Bifidobacteriaceae
Description: bacterial SSU rRNA
Rfam family: Bacterial small subunit ribosomal RNA
Source: RNAcentral